UAAUAGAAAAGUACAAUUAUAUUAUUCCCCCUGCUAUAGUUAAGCACGGCAUCACAAUCUUUAGCUUAAUAUAUGCUAAAGAUACUGACUACAUAAAUAGAGAGAGAGAGAGAGAGAGAGAGAGAAAGUAAAGCUAGAAUCUAGGUGUCAUGGACACAGACACGGGGCACAACACGACUCCGAAACGGCGACUCGACGACUUCCAAAAAGUUAGGACACGGACACUGCAUAGACAUCGCUAAUAAAAUAUAAUAUUAUUAAUAUAAUAAUAUAUAUUUAUUAGAGUUGAGCUGGAAUACUAUUAAUAGUAUUUGGGCUCUUUUGCUAUUGAUUUUUUAGCCGUUAAAUCUACACUUUAAUCAAUUCUACCAUUUAGAUAAUACUAUUCAACCAACCAACUACCCACUCAACCCUAGGGGGACCACCACUAAAACCUAGGAAACCACUAUCAUCCUAACCCUGUAAUUUUUCAUCCAAGGGUUAAAAACUUAUAGCAAAAGAGCCCAAAUAUUAUUAAUAGUAUUCCAACUCAAUUCUAUUUAUUAUAUAAAAUAUUAAUUUUGCAAAAAUAUUAUUAUAUUUCUCGUACAAAAUGAAAGUUAAUAAAAUUCUCAUUGAUAGUUCAUAUAUUUUAAGAAAAAAAAUUCUCCACCAUACAUAAUCUAUUGACAUUGUCCAAAAAAAUUUAUAUGCAUUUACCAAAAAGGCAAAAUAUUUAUCAUCUUAUAUUACAUAUGCCUAAAAAAAAAAUAAUAUAUAUAUUUAAUGGGAUGCGCCAUGCACCCACGUGGAGCGUAUGCCCAUGGCGUGUCCAUGUCAAACACGAGUUCCACACAGAAGGGCGUGUACACGCAAAGCCUAUAGAAGUGCCUAUGAUACAUAGACUAUCAAUAGCAAAGGAAUAGUACUUACUACCUACUUUUUAGCCUUUGGAUGCCUUGAGUUUAAUGGGGUAAGUGGAAUAGUAUUUGAUCCAAGGGCUACAAAGUUGAUAGUAAACACAUCUACUAUUAAUAGUAGCAUAGAUGGACUUGUAUAGAGUAAAGCUAGAAUACCAUCAAUAGCAAAGGUGUUAAUAGUAGCAUAGGUUAACUUGUAUAGAGUAAAGCUAGAACACCAUCAAUAGCAAAGGUGUUGAUAGUAACAUAGAUGUACUAUCAAUAGUAUCCUAGCUGAACAAUAUAAACAUAUAUACAUAUAUAUGAUUACAAGGAAAAUAGCAAAGACAACUUCAGAAAAUAGCAGAAACCAUAUCUUGUAUUAGACUAACCACAUUAAGGAACAACUUAAAUUAAGAAAUAGAUGUGAGAAAGAGAAGUAGAGGUAAAUAUAGUAUGAUAUAGCAAUUGACUCAUUUGCUUGAAGAACAUGAUUAGAUGGGACUGCGGUGGUGGGAGCAAACAAACCAUAUUGAUUACAGAAGGUUCCAUUUGGCACGCCAUCGUCCGUGUCCAUAUAAGAGUGUACAAUUUUAGAGAAUCAUCAUCAAGUAUUCCAACCAAAGUUGCUGUAAGCAUGAGAACAAGUAAGAACAUUGUCAAUAUUAUGUUGAAAGAGUUGAAUUUGUGCAAAACAACAAGAUGAUGAAUCAAAGGAACUUAUUACAUGGCAGCCUCCUUAUGCUGGUUGGUCUGAUAGCUUCAUGAGCUUCUUGAGCAUUCUUCACCUUUCUGAAGUACUUGCGUAUAUUUUUUGAAGCAUAUUCCUUACCAUACCUGCAAGGGAAAGAAUGAAUUUUCAGUGAAAAGAAUAAAAAGGAAAAUUGAGCAACUAUACUAAAUUACAUCAAAGUUGCAUUACAGGUUAGACUGAAAAAUUACAUAAGUGGUCAGGUUAGGUUAGGUUAGGUUAGGUUUGAGCGGUCUCAGCCUGAACGCAAUUCACUGGUUAUGAAAGAGCCUAAACAAAAACCUGCCCAACUCAAUAUAAGUAGAGAAGCUCUUACAUUCAGUGACUUGCAUCUUCCAAUAACGAUUUAUAAGCAACCCUAUACUACACUUAUACGCUUGUCAUGAUGGGGCAAGUGCAAUGUCUUAAUAAAGUAUCAAAGCUCAGACCUUCAAGUUCCAAAAGCUACAGCGACUGAGGAUAGAACUUCCUAUUUUAGUUCCUCUCCAACUCAACCAUAAGUUGACCUUAAUAAGCCCAUGAAUUCCCGAAUUACAACAGAACACAGAUUCACCCAAUCUGAUAUAUCUACUAGAAAAAAGGAUAACUAUAACAUGUGAGAAGUUAUCACCUUUCUUUUACCAAGGAAUGGAUAUCUUCUGCAGCUUCACUAGAAACCUACAGGAAAAAUGAAAAGAAUUAGAAUAAAGGCAAGCCUUUCAAAAAGAUCAAGUUUUUUCAUAUUAUUUUGGAUCUAAAGUUUGCGAGAUAUAUAACGUCUAAAGGCACUAUGCUCAAUAGUUCCUCACUUCAUCCUAGCAGGAAACCAUUAAACAUCUCAAAGGCAUACAAAUAAAAAGCAUUAUUCUGCAAACGUGUGCUCACUAUAAAAGGCAUUAUUCUGCAAACUUGUGCUCACUACUCUUAUGAAUGCUCAGAACCUCAGACCUUCAAUAGAAAAACCUACAGUGCCCAAAGUUGAAAACAUGUGAUUUGUAUCUAGGAGUAAGCAUAAAAUUUAAGGAAUUUAUUGGGCGUAAUGCAUGUGACUACACAAACAUGCACACUUAUCUGCGAGGAAGUCAUCAUAAACUUCCACCGUCAUGUUAGAGAUUAAGAUAACAGAACGUUGAACUAUCAUAAAUUGAAAACGAAUGCAAUCAAGCAGCUCAAUCCUUAGGGACAACAGAAAAACACAGGGCAUGAAUAUAAACUAUCGGUAAAUGCAGAUCAAGAACAAACAGAUUAAGUUAAAUUGGGUAAUGAAUGGCAAAAAUGAUACCUACAUGUAAUCCAUCAGUUCGCAUGUAUGUUAUCAACCCCGUUGCUUCUUCAUCUGAUAGUUUGACCCCCUCAUACAGCUUCUGAGCCAGCUGCAAUUAAAUGAUGCCGUAAUAAAAAUAGUUCUUCGAUGAAAAAUCCUAUCAUCUUGGGAUAGACUUAAACAAGUAAAAUAUAACUAAAUCAGAUAAUCUUCUGAAAGUCGUUGAGUAAUUUAUGAAUAUUCAAAACGAAACCACUACUAUGAAAUAUUUAGCAAUGUUAAAGAAGCAACCAACCGCAUGUAAGACCUAAGAUUCAAUUGAAAAAUAAUGUGUAGAUGCCAAUAAUACAAGUUAUUGGCAUAGAAACUGAAACUGCAAUUAGCUAAAUGUCAAAUUAAGUAAUACUACAUCUGAAAAACAGAUCAAUCAUAUGUAUCGACUGGCUCCCCUCGAGGUCAAGCCAACAUGAGAAUUGUUUAAAUAGUUUCAAGGUAAAGUGAUAAACAAACAAGACUCUGCUAAUUGGCAUCAUAGGACCCCCUGCUUUUCUCAAAUAGCAAUUCAUGGUCAGAUUGAAAAAAUUAGAUCCCACUAAGGAAAUGAGCCUAUUUUUCAUAAAGAAAAAGGAUGCAAGAGGUCAUUAAAUCUCUGAAGAAUGAGAAACAAACCUUCAUUGUAUAAGCAGCAGUAAAGUGCAGCUUGUUAGCAGAAUCUUGCUGAAGACUUGAUGUUAUAUAAGGCAUGGGAGGAUUUUUAUAAACUUUGCUCAUUUUUACACCUAUCACUUUAAAUUUAGAGGAAGAGGCUCGUUUUUCAAUGGCCUGUGCCUCUGCUUGAGAGCCUACAGAUAGCUGAUCCAAUUUUUUGGAAUCAAAAUGAGUUAAAUAUGAAGAAAUAGAGCUUUUGUUCUUUGAAGAAUCUGAACUUGAAACUUGAAAGUCAACCCCAACACUCCAAUACUCUUGUGGAUUAAAUUGUUCAAUCUCUGUCUCCCUAUCACAUAAAAGUGCCAAGGCUGCAGAUUGGACACGGCCAGCCGACUGGCAACCAGGUAGCUUCCUCCAUAAAAGUGGUGAUAUGCUGAAACCAAUCAAGUAAUCAAGGGCGCGCCGUGCAAGAUAAGCAUUGACCAAAUUCAUAUCUAUAUCUCUGGGAGAGUGCAAAGCACUUUUGACAGAAGCCUCCGUUAUUUCAUAAAAUACGACUCUUGCCACAGUGAUAUUUCCACCUAAGGCAUCUUGUUGUUGUAGCAUUUCAGUGAUAUGCCAAGCAAUUGCUUCACCCUCACGGUCAGGAUCAGAUGCAAGAAUAAGAUUUUCCGCUCUGGGAAGAAGAACGGACGAAUGUAAGAAAAGGGUGAAUCAGAUGCACGACCUUUUUCCACAAAAGAAAUUUCUAAUGAAACCAUUGCAAACAAUGACAAAAUAAAGAAUGAAGAGUAAACUUUAACUACAUGGAGCAUAAAUAAAGGAACAGUCAUUUAGUAGUGGAGCUACCGGGCAGAUGACCUUGCUUAGCGUUCACAAUCUCCAACAGCUGAUUUUUAUGUCCUUAAGUCCAUUAGUUGACGUAUUAAGAAUGCCGAUUUAGUAGCUUUAAUGAACAAUUGCUACCAACAAUGUUGUCGCUGUCAUAGAUAAAUUGUAGAAAUCAUAGGAACGAUCAACUAGAUCAAGGACAAUAGCAUUGUCUUUUUUUAAUAAAAAUUACAAAAAUUACAAUUAAUAAAAACAGAUUUUUACAUAAGAAACAAUUGUCAAAUAUCUUAACUGGUUUAUUCAAUCAGGUUAAAUACAAAAUAAUAGCUCAACAAUGAUGACGGAUGUAAGCAAAUGCAACAGAAGAAAAAAUAAUUCAUUCCUUCAUUGAAAUAUCUGUAAAUGAAACUUUUUUCAUCUUUCAGUUGAAUCAUAUAUGGUAAUACAGAGCAUUACAGUAUGUAAUGAACUGAUUUUCAUUCAGAAAAUCUAUAAAGAAACAAAAUAUGGAGGGGAAUCAUGAAGCUCUAGUUAAUAGUAGUUAGAAAAAGGAUUAUUUCCUUACAAAUCCGUCUACUAAGGUUAGAUGGUAAUGUUGUUGCUUUCUGGUGACAAAGAUAAUUGCUUACUUAUCCCGUUUGAACCUAUAAAAGAGAUUAACUUAUCAUUGCCAUAAAUAUUUAACCUAUAGAGACAUAAUUAAGUUAGAUCCUCUGAUCUAAGGGUUUCACUAUACGUAAAAUAAAUGGAUUCUUUCUACAUUCCAAUUCAGGGAUUAUAACUCUUAUCUUAAGAACCAUUCGCAUAAGAUUUUUUAAAUCCAGAGUGUGAAUCAUACAAAUCCUAAAAAAAAAGUUUCUUACAAUUAUAAACUUAGCCACCAAUUCUUUCAAAAUGAGAUUCGUAUGUAUGCCACAAUUAUGUAGUAUGGUAAAUAAGAACCAACAUAAAGAAGCAUACCCGCUUAAUGCUACCUUAAUGCUCUUAAGAUGUGUCCAGGCAGCAGAAGGCACCUCCCAAACCAUGCUGAAGUCAUCAUCAGUCCUGACUGAUCGUGACCUAGCAGCCAAGUCUCUAACAUGACCAUAACUAGGCAGCACCUCAUACUUAUCCCCUAGAUAAUUCUGGAUGACUCUUGCUUUUGUGACUGACUCCACCACAACAACCGAUUUACCGGUUGGAGGGUAAAGAGGGUGAAGGGAAUUAUGCUGCUUCCUUCCAAACUUUGCACAUUUAACAGAAGAAUUCUGACUGCUAUUUUUAACUUCAUGAGAUGUAAUAGCCACAUUGGCUUUCUGUGCUCUUGAAGAUCUUUUCGAACUUUUAGGCUCCUUUUUAGUUCCAGAAGCACUUUUAGAUGGUAUUUCCUCCUGUUUUGAAACAGGCUUCCAAUUCUUCUUUUCUGGAGUUUUAGUAGCUUUCUUGGUCGGUUCUUUCUUUUCUCUAAGGCCUACAGCAACUUGCUCUCCACUCUGUGCAGCAAUUGCACUUCUGGUAACUGUCUUAUCAGUGCAUGCAACAUCCUUUGCGGAGUUACCGGUGAAUGCAGCAUUCGCCUCUCCAUUAAUACUGGCACAAGUGGCUAGUGAAUUUUCUCGUCUCUUUGAUCCAUGAAGCAGGUGAGAUGCACCAGGACCAUCUUCUGUUUUACUACCUUUCACAACUAAGUUAUCUUGGAAACUCUUUGAUCUGGCCACAAGUUGGAACUUCUUUUUACUCUUGGUUGAAAACAAUCUUUUGUUUCUGUGUUCACGAGCCAUCAAAUUAAAUAUAGGAGUGCUUUCAGAUCCAGAAAUGCCAAUACCGCAACUAUUGAAAUGUCUAAUAGAAUAAGAGGGCAUCUGUUUAAACUGCGGAGAAACUCUAAUAGAAAUCCCAGCAUCCAUCUUUCUCAAUGAAUUAACCUUCAGUAUUAGUUGUACAGGCUUUACAUUGGAACCAUUAAAGCCUAAUGGCGAAUAAGGCAUGCAGCUGCAUGGAAAAUUCUGCAACGCCCUAUAUUGAAGCUGCAACAAGAAACCCAAAGGCGAGACAUUUGAGCACUGAAAUAUUUGCAAUAUUUAGAUAGUUGCGCAUGAGACUGCAAGAAUCCCCAGAAGGACCAACCAUUACUUACAAGCUAUAGUGAGGCAAUAUGACAAACAAGAAAUAGGCAGAAUUACAAACCCCAAAUUUCUUGAAGCCAGCUAUGAUCAAACCCUUUCUACAACUUUAUAUGCAUUAAAUAUGUUGUCAAUGACGAAAAGCUAAUCUCCUAAGAAAAUCCUACAGAGGUUUAAAUCUUUGAAAACCUUACAGAGCUGAUACUAAAGGCUCAAACCUUCAAAGAACAUAGGAUUCUCAUUCGCUUGCCACCAUCGUUCACAAGAAUCACAAAUCAAUACAUCGCAUUCAAGAAACGGGAAAUGAUAAAAAAUGAAAAGCGUAGAUACCAUGGCUGGAGAAGAGAAACUCCUUGGUAAGCAGCUGGGGAAGAAGAGCCUACGAAGCUGGAGCGCCAUGCGAGCCCUCUGAGGAUCCGCUAAAGAUAAGAGAGGGCCCCCGAAGCUAUCACGAAGAAGGAAAAUGAGCGUAAAAACAUUAGCACACGAUUCAAGAAAUGGAGGAGAGAGCUUACAGCUGCAGCGAUGGCGAUGGUCGUACCUGAGGAUAUCUAGGGUUAGGGUUAGGGUUUUGGGGCGGCAUCAGCUGCGGAGCAUCACUACGACGACGGAGGAAGAAGAAACGGGCCAGUGUUCCGAACAGAGAGCGCUCCUCUCUCUCACUCUCUCUCUCUCUCUCUCUCUCCCUCUCUCGGGCGCGGCUUUGGAUACGCGCACAAAUGGAAAGGAGAUAUCGGUUCGUUAGGGGUUUUACUUGUGGCGAGGUUUUUAUACAUGCGGGACCGGGGGCGAAUGGACUGGUCUAGGGUUCCGGUUUAGGUUGAGACGGUUCGACCGGACCGGGUGUUGUAUUUCGGCCGGUUCAGGUUGAGUCGAGAUGUGACUCGAACCUUACUUCCUUGGCGCAACGUGAUCAGUGCGUGCUUGGGGCUUUUUUAUAAAAUGACCCUCUAAAAAAUUGUAAUUGGCAAAAUAAUCAUGUAAAAAUUUUAUUUGUAAAACUAACCCUCCUUUCGCCACGUAGGCGGCACGUCAAGAUUUUCUUAUAAAGACGGUAAAUCGUUCGCCGUUUUCUCUUAUUUCUUUUAUUUUAAAGGCGGUAAAUCGUUCACCGCUUUUUCCCAUUUCUUUUAAAGGCGGUAAAUCGUUCACCUCUUUCUCCCAUUUUUUUAAAAAACGAUAAAUCAUUCACCGCUUUUCACUUAUUUACUGUUCCUUUCUAUAUCCCAUAUAAUCUUAACAACUUUUAAAACCUAAUAAUUUAUCCAUAUAAUUUCAUAUAAAGGCAGUUAAGAUUAUAUGAAAUUAUAUAAAUAAAUUAUUAGGAUUUAAAGAUUGUUAAGAUUAUAUGUAAUUUGUUAGAAUUUUUAUGUGGUUGUUAGGAUUAUAUAAGAAAUAUAGAAAAUAACAAUAAAUAAGUUAUGGAAGAAAACGGUGAAUGAUUCACCGCCUUUAAAAGAAAUGGGAGAACGCGGUGAACGAUUCACCGUCUUUAAAUGAAAUAGGAGAAAAGAGGAUUAAUUUUACAAAUAAAAUUUUGAGUGGAUUAUUUCGCAAAUUUUAAAAUUUUAGAGGGUUGUUUUAUAAAAAAGUCCGCGUGCUUGUCGCUGUUUAAAAAGUGGGCGAAAAUGAGAAUAAAUGAAAAGAAAGAGAUGGAACAAGUGAGCAAGGUUUGCACACUUACUAUUUUAAAUUGUCUUCAUAGUAUUCUUUACAAUUGUAAUGCUUUUAUAUGCAAGUUGUUAUUAAAUUAUAAAUUAUAUCAAAUAAUUUAUCUACUGAUUUGAAUACUUCGGAUAAUGGAUAGGAUAAAUAUUUGGAAUCAAAAAAAAAAAAAGGUUGAAACUAGGCCAAUUUGUAUCUGAUGAGAAUGUGGCGUGGUUAAAAUUACAGAGCAAUACCUAUUUGUACAUGUAAAUUUUAUAAUCUAUUUUAUCUAAAGAUUAAUAUUUUUGCAGUAAACUAGUUAUUUCUUUUAAUAUGAAAAAUUAAAUGAAUAGGUAUAAAUUUUGCACUCUCUAUUUGAGUACACAAGUGGCACUUAAAAUUAUAAUGAGUAAAUAAAUGGUAUAUGCACACCUGAUCAUAUUAUUAUGGAAAGCAUAAAGUUUGAUAGAUGAUCUAUUAAAAUCCUGUUUGUUUAUCCAUCCAUUAUCUCCGAAGCUUCAGAAAUAUCUUUGUAGAUUGAGCUUUAGAAAGUGGAGAAACCUGCUUCAAUUAUUUGCAGCUCCUUCCCAGUGGCGCAUAACAAUAUUACUUUACUGUCUAUUUUGUUCCCAUUUGUCUACCUAUACCAAAUAUAUUAUCUGAGAAUUCUCUCUUAUUCGACAUAUUCUUUAUUUUUAAGUAUGUAAAUAUUUUACCGACUGUCUCUAGCACGAGUGGUAAAAAACUUAGUAGUUGGUAUUCGAGAUCGAAAAUUCAAAGCAUAUUUGCUUUAUAUUUUCAGUUAGAUUCAUUUAUUUAAAAUAAAAUAAUAAAAUAGAUAAAAUGCUAUUUUUCUCUAAAAAAUACAUAUAAUAUUUUUAAUCUAAUAAUUUAUCUCUUAGGCUCAUUCUAAAUAAUAAAAAUAAUAAUAACUAACGUAUAGAGGAGGAAGUUGAGAGUAGAUGAAGUAGAGCUCUAACGUAACUUGAGUUACAUUAUAUUUUUCACCUAGGGGCCUGUUUGUUUCGACGGAAGUGGGGUGGAAGUGGGACGGGGAAAGUGAUUUUCGGUGAAAACUAACCACUUCCGCUGUUUGGUUCACCGUAAGUUUAUUACGCCCGAAAGUUCAGUUCACCCAAAAUAAGGAACUUGACUUCGCCCUCCCAUGGGGCGAAGUCAAUUUCGGUGAAGUGAAAAAAAGGCAAGANAAAAUAUGAUCAAAUUUGAUUAGGUAAACUUUAAUAUAUUUUUUGUUUAAUUUGUAUAUUUAGAAAAUGAUGAAAAAUGAAUUUGUUAAAUGUUAAUAAUUUUUUAACUUUAGAAUUUUAUUUGUUGCAUUAUUAUAAUUUAUAUGCAAACAAAUAAUAUAAUUUUUUAAAAUUUUAUUUUAUAAUUAUACAUAUAUAUAAUUAUAUACAUAUAUAAUUAUAUUAAUUUUUAUUUAUUAUAAUUUAUUAUUCACUAUAAGUUAUAAAAUAGACAAUAAUAUCACUUUGGAGGUAAGUAUACCGGGGGUGGAGAGCUACACUUUUUACGUCAUCUACUUCCUACCAAACAAACAACAGAACUCGCAGAACUGCACUUCCACAGUUAAAAACAAACAGCAGAAGUAAACUAAUUUUCACCCCAACUCCACUUCAACCCAAAGUCCACUUCCACCCCAAGUCUACUUACGUUGAAACAAAUAUGCCCCUAUACAAAAACAAAUAACGAAAGUGAUGGAACUUGAGUUCCAUCACUCCACUUACACCAAAACAAAC
This 9860-nucleotide long non-coding RNA is filed under the name Ananas comosus (pineapple). RNAcentral's name for it is "long non-coding RNA (ACOM_LNC011127)". Lineage: Eukaryota; Viridiplantae; Streptophyta; Magnoliopsida; Poales; Bromeliaceae. The record is from RNAcentral.